RNAcentral lists this ribosomal RNA (498 nucleotides) under uncultured bacterium. RNAcentral's name for it is "partial 16S ribosomal RNA". It matches the Rfam family "Bacterial small subunit ribosomal RNA", at positions 28 to 507 of the family's 1533-position model. The record is from RNAcentral.
GACGAACGCUGGCGGCGUGCCUAAUACAUGCAAGUCGAGCGGACGGAUGGGAGCUUGCUCCCAGACCGUCAGCGGCGGACGGGUGAGUAACACGUGGGCAACCUGCCUGUAAGACUGGGAUAACUCCGGGAAACCGGGGCUAAUACCGGAGAACUCUUUCCCUCACAUGAGGGAAGGCUGAAAGAUGGCAUCUCGCUAUCACUUACAGAUUGGCCCGCGGCGCAUUAGCUAGUUGGUGAGGUAACGGCUCACCAAGGCGACGAUGCGUAGCCGACCUGAGAGGGUGAUCGGCCACACUGGGACUGAGACACGGCCCAGACUCCUACGGGAGGCAGCAGUAGGGAAUCUUCCGCAAUGGACGAAAGUCUGACGGAGCAACGCCGCGUGAGUGAUGAAGGUUUUCGGAUCGUAAAACUCUGUUGUCAGGGAAGAACAAGUACCGGAGUAACUGCCGGUACAGUGACGGUACCUGACCAGAAAGCCACGGCUAACUACGUG